This 460-nucleotide ribosomal RNA is filed under the name uncultured bacterium. RNAcentral's name for it is "partial 16S ribosomal RNA". It matches the Rfam family "Bacterial small subunit ribosomal RNA", at positions 338 to 795 of the family's 1533-position model. The record is from RNAcentral.
CCUACGGGAGACUGCAGUGAGGAAUCUUGGUCAAUGGACGAGAGUCUGAACCAGCCAAGUAGCGUGAAGGAUGAAUGCCCUAUGGGUUGUAAACUUCUUUUAUAUGGGAAUAAAACAGGGUAUGCAUACCCUCUUGUAUGUACCAUAUGUAUAAGGAUAGGCUAACUCCGUGCCAGCCGCCGCGGUAAUACGGAGGAGCCGAGCGUUAGCCGGAUUUAGUGGGUUUAAAGGGAGCGUAGGUGGAUUGUUAAGUCAGUUGUGAAAGUUUGCGGCUCAACCGUAACAUUGCAUUUGAAACUGGCAGUCUUGAGGACAGUAGAGGUGGGCGGAAGUCGUGGUGUAGCGGUGAAAUGCUUAGAUAUCACGAAGAACUCCGAUUGCGAAGGCAGCGCACUGGACUGCAACUGACACUGAUGCUCGAAAGUGUGGGUAUCAAACAGGAUUAGAUACCCCAGUAGUC